Molecule: ribosomal RNA, 506 nt
Filed under: uncultured bacterium
Lineage: Bacteria
Description: partial 16S ribosomal RNA
Rfam family: Bacterial small subunit ribosomal RNA
Source: RNAcentral
AGUGAACGCUGGCGGUAGGCCUAACACAUGCAAGUCGAACGACAGCACAGAGGAGCUUGCUCCUUGGGUGGCGAGUGGCGGACGGGUGAGGAAUACAUCAGAAUCUACUCUGUCGUGGGGGAUAACGUAGGGAAACUUACGCUAAUACCGCAUACGACCUACGGGUGAAAGCAGGGGAUCUUCGGACCUUGCGCGAUUGAAUGAGCCGAUGUCGGAUUAGCUAGUUGGCGGGGUAAAGGCCCACCAAGGCGACGAUCCGUAGCUGGUCUGAGAGGAUGAUCAGCCACACUGGAACUGAGACACGGUCCAGACUCCUACGGGAGGCAGCAGUGGGGAAUAUUGGACAAUGGGCGCAAGCCUGAUCCAGCCAUACCGCGUGGGUGAAGAAGGCCUUCGGGUUGUAAAGCCCUUUUGUUGGGAAAGAAAUCCAGCUGGCUAAUACCCGGUUGGGAUGACGGUACCCAAAGAAUAAGCACCGGCUAACUUCGUGCCAGCAGCCGCGGUAA